GUCGUCUUGGAAACACUGAAAUUAUAUAAAUUGGGAUUUAUAUUCAACAAAUAUACACUUACAGCCAAAUUGUCAAUGAUUUUUUCAUGGUGAUGCAGAUUGCUAGACAAGUAGAGGACACGAUUGAUGAGAACGAAUCCAGACG
Molecule: non-coding RNA, 145 nt
Organism: Caenorhabditis elegans
Lineage: Eukaryota; Metazoa; Nematoda; Chromadorea; Rhabditida; Rhabditidae
Source: Ensembl